GGAAAACCAACUCAUGCUGGAAGCAAUUCUCUGAAUGCUGGUUCCUAGGGAUUCAGCCCAGCAAGGAGGGUGUAGUGAACCCAGUUUGCAUGUUUUUCUGGGAAUAAAGAGGGCAGGUUGCUUGUUGUCUGGAUUCCCAUGCCAGAUUCAGAACUUUCUUCAGCCACUAAUUCAGAUGAUACUUUGGAUGAAUACUUUGAGUAUGAAGCUGAGGAGUUCCUGGUCUCCUUGGCCCUGCUGAUCACUGAGGGCCGGACCCCAGAGUACUCGAUCAAGGGCAGGACAGAGGGCUUCCACUGCCCACCAGCACAGUCCAGUCAGCCACCAACAACUAAGCAUGAAUGCAGUGACAAACUGGCUCAGUGUCGUCAGGCCAGGCGAACCAGAUCUGAGGUUAUGCUUCUGUGGAAGAACAAUAUUCCAAUCAUGGUAGAAGUGAUGCUACUUCCAGACUGUUGCUAUAGUGAUGAAGGGCCCACCACAGAGGGGAAUGAUUUAAAUGAUCCUGCAAUCAAACAAGAUGCAUUGCUGUUGGAAAGGUGGAUUUUGGAGCCAGUUCCUCGACAGAGUGGAGAUCGAUUUAUAGAAGAGAAGACCCUUUUACUGGCUGUUCGCUCCUUUGUUUUCUUCUCCCAGCUGAGCGCGUGGCUGAGUGUUUCACAUGGUGCUGUUCCCCGAAAUAUCCUGUACAGGGUGAGCGCUGCAGACGUGGACUUGCAAUGGACGUUCUCCCAGACACCCACUGAGCAUGUCUUUCCUGUUCCUAAUGUUUCUCACAAUGUGGCCUUGAGGGUCAGCGUCCAGUCCUUGCCCAGGCAGUCCAACUACCCAGUUUUGACCUGUAGUAUUCACACCAACCUUAGCUUUUAUGAAAAGCAAAUGCAAGAGCGCAAGUUCCAUCAGCGCAGCGAUCCCGGUGCUGCUCAGCAAUGCAGUACUUCCAGUCCCCUGCGUUUUCGUGGGAAACAGACAUGGACAGUGACACCUGAAGGCCUACUUAAUGGAAAAAAGAUGCCUGAAUUUACUACAUCUUUUAGAAAUUUGAAGCUUUAUCCAUCUACUGGACUUGGAUCUGACUUUGGGGCAUCUCAGUCUAAAGUUCAGUGCUAUAAUGCCACAGCAGACAAUAAGACACAGUCUCAUGAAACACCGGUUAGAACUUUUAAAUCCUACUCUCUGGUUGAUUCCCGUGUUUCAAAUAGCCAUGGCUCUCAUCAGCCCACAGGAGAAACCAAUCCUUUGAUAGGCUCUUUACUUCAAGAGCGACAAGAAGUCAUUGCAAGGAUUGCUCAGCACUUGAUUCACUGUGAUCCAGCUACUUCACCAGUUGUUGCUGGGCGUCCAUUCACCACACAUGAAAACAUCUCAGCUACACCAAAAGCUUUUCGGAGCACUUUCGAAGAGGAAAACUUGCCAAGGAAAAGCAAGGAAAGCUCCCCUGUUCCUGCUGCCAACUUAGACAGUGCAAUACAGGAGGAUGGUGAUGAAGGCAAAACUAGAGCAGUGCCAGAGGUCACCCUGCUCGAUGCCCGUGUUCCAGGGAGCCACUGUGGCCGUCAGUCAGCAGGAGAGGGUAACCCCCUGAUUGAUUCCCUGCUCCAGGAGCGGCAGGAGGUGAUAGCAAGGAUUGCCCAGCACUUGAUUCAUUGUGAUCCAGCUACUUCCCAUGUUGCUGGACAUCCAUUCAAAGUGCAUGAGGCUAGUCCGGUCACGUCAAAAAUUUUCCGAAGUACAUAUGAAGAUGAAAAUUUGCUGAAGAAAGGCAAGGAACCAUCUUCUGUUUCUUCUACUAAAUCAAAAUUUUCUUUGUUAGAAGACAGCAGUAAAUCGGGGACAAAGACACCUGAUACUCCUAUCAGUCCUUCUAGGUUGGAUGGAGAAUUGAAGACUUCUCUAAAAGUCCAAGCAAGAAGAAAAUUGGUUUUAGCAAAACCCAGUGAAGCUGUCCAAAAUUCAUUUCAUCAGACUUCAAAUAAAACUUCUCAUGCAUUUAGUAGCAUUCACAUAUCAUCAUCAUGUAUUAAAGAAAACAAAUCUGAAAUUCCAGAUAAAUUAGAAAUACAUUCUGGUUAUGCACAGAAAGACCAGAUAACCAAUAGAAUGAAACAGGGUUCAAAUUCCAGCAGCAUUGAUGAACAGAUUUGCACAAAUAAACUUAAAGAAAGAACAGUUGUAAGUGAGAACAAUGGCACAGACAGUUUUAAUAAUUUACAGAUAGAAAAAUGCAGAAUACUUGAAGGUACAAAAAAAUCAACUGUGAUACCGGUAUCUGACUCUUUGCACAAAAAUGAGCUCAAGUGUUUAGAUAGAGACUCCAAAAAACCAAUUAUUUAUGAGCAAAAUACACAACUUGUUAGUAUUGAAAAUUAUUUAAAUAAAGACCAUGACAGUUUCAAAACCAAAACCAAACAAGAUAAAACAAAAUCUGCACAUGAUGAAAAUGAAGACCCAACAGGCCUUGAUUUUCAAAGCACUUCUCAGAAGAAACCUGCAGAAGACAAUGUGGUUAAAUGUGAGCGGCAGAAGAACCCAGAUGUACAGAAAGCACCUCCUCUAAAACACACAAAUACAUGGCGGAAACACAAUUUUCGAUCCCUGGAUGGAACUUCAACCAAGGCUUUUCAUCCCAGAACUGGACUGCCUCUGCUUUCAAGUCCUGUUCCUCAAAGGAAAACACAGUCUGGGUGCUUUGAUCUGGAUUCAUCAUUGUUGAAAUGUCUGUCUGCAAGAAGCCCACAACAAUGUAUAAACAAAGAUGGUGAUCCAGACAGCCAUGGGAAACCAUUUCUAAGUUCUAGUGCUCCCCCCGUAACAAGUCUGAGCCUUCUGGGAAACUUUGAGGAAUCUGUCCUGAAUUUCCGCUUGGACCCGCUCGGUGUCGUGGAGGGUUUCACAGCAGAGGUGGGAGCAAGUGGAGUCUUUUGUCCCACGCACAUGACUCUGCCAGUUGAAGUGUCAUUCUACAGCGUUUCAGAUGACAAUGCUCCCUCUCCUUACAUGGUAAAUGUGUGGUUGGAUUUAUUUUAAAUAAGUUCUGAUAUGUGGAGGUGAAGAGCAAGAGCUUGGGUGUAAUUACUUUAGAGUCCCUCGGUAAAAGGGGUUAUCGAGUACCGCCUUCAGGAACAAUACAAGUGACCUUAUUUAACCCUAACAAAACUGUGGUGAAGAUGUUUGUGGUGAUCUAUGACUUGAGAGAAAUGCCAGCUAAUCAUCAAACAUUCCUACGGCAAAGAACUUUUUCUGUUCCUGUGAGACGAGAAAUCAAGCGAAAUGUCAAUAAAGAAAACAGCCACCAGACUGAAGAAAGGCUACUACGCUACCUCAUACAUCUGAGGUUCCAGAGUUCUAAAUCUGGAAAGAUCUACCUCCACAGAGAUGUAAGGCUCCUAUUCUCUCGGAAGUCCAUGGAAGUUGAUAGCGGCGCUGCAUAUGAACUCAAAUCUUACACUGAAUCUCCAACAAAUCCUCAGUUUUCACCAAGAUGCUAGCAAACAAUGGCAAAGUCAAGUAUUCAUUUUACUGUUGAGUACUCCUUGCAAGCAAAGAUUGGUAGAGACAACAGUAUCAAGUUAAGUCUGUAAAGGAAUAAAAAUAGCGCUCAAGAGAAAGAAGGUUCUGUGUGAUCCUGGACCAGUUUUUAAAAGGUUUCUGGAAUGAGCUUUGUGUAUUCCAAGUAGACUGGAAACAUACUUAAAUCUAAUCUUUUUGUACUGUUUAAAACCACUUCAUUGGAUGUGUUGCAAUAGCAAAUUCCCAAGUUAGUUUAGUGUUUACACUUUUUAUUUUAUUUUUCAGUUAUUUAAUAUUUAAUGUUUCAUUUAAUACUCAAGUGAUGUUUGUCUUUAGUGUUCUAAUGUAGCAUAAAUCCUAUGUAAAAUCAUACUAUGUAUUUUUGGCAUUAAUAUUGAAAUCUGAAAUAUAUACAGAUGUCUUUAAUCUGUGUGCUGUUUUAAGUGAUAUUCAUUUAAGUUAUUGAGAAUGGGGACAACAGGUGAAUUUCCAUAACAUUUCAUACUAUGCAAGCAUUUUGCUGUUUUUUCUCUUUAAUGGUACCAUUUUCCAUUUUUUCUCACAUCCAAAUUUAAUAACACUUGCAACCACACUGCAGAUUGUUUAUUUACUUACUUAUUCAUUUAGAUCAUUAAUUCAAUUCACAUUUUGCUCCCUCAAUUUCUUUUUUCUUUCCUUGGGGGCCAUUUUAAUUUUGCUUUCUGUUAUUAGUUUUCCUCAGAUAAAAUUUGCACCCCUCCCCCAUUUUAUUUCUCAAAUUGUGUUAAAGGAUGUACUGUGCAAACAAAUUAGUAUUUAUAUCUCAAAUAUAUGCAAAAGCUAUAAAACUUGUACUUUUUGUUUUAUUUUUAGAUGAGAGGAUCUUCAUGUAAUCCUAAAUAUUUUUCAUAGGUCAAUUCCAUGUAGGCCACUAGGUGGCCAUAGGAGGUUUUACUAGCAAUGCUACACUGGGCAUAUGACUAUUUUCCAAUAUGUGUGUGUGUUCCUACAACAAAACAGUCAGAUGAACAGUUUAUGCUAAGUGUUAAACUGUGUAACUGAGAGAAAUAAAGUUAGAAGCAUUUGAUUAUAUUUGAGCUAUAUAUUUAAUAAUGGAAAUGAAGCUUUAUGACAUUUGAUGAAGAUCUGAGUUUCUCAGCUGUCUUACCUUGUGUUUUUCUUUACUUUGCUGUAGGUUUUUAGAGUGUCAGUAAUAUGCAAGGUGCCCUUUACCAUGCUUAUCUGAUGAAGACUGGAGAAAGGAUGAAUGUGCAUCCUCUGUAUUCAGCACUGCCCCUAGAUGAGAGAAGUCAGUGUAUCAUGAAAUCUCCAGGAAGUCUGCCAGGGAACGUAAGGGAGACUGGACUUUCCAGAUGAUACUCAUCAGCUAUCUUGUACAUGCAAAUGACUGCUGCUCCAGAAGGGCAAAGCUCAGAUAUUACUGAGUCCUCUCCCCACGUCAGCAGUGUUUUCCACUCUGCUACACCAGGUUUUCAAAGGUUUACCUAGCAUUCAUUUUAGAGAGAAUCGGGGGAAACUGUACAGGAAGAGAUUGUUUGCAGUUUCUGGUCAUUUGUGCGCCCUUUAAAAUGGAGAAAAGGUUUCUUUUGGUAGCAGAAGGGUCAAACACAACUGCAGCUGUACUGUGUACAGAACUAAGGUCUGGACUGGGAUAUCAAGAGGGCGUCCUAGUUUCUGUGUAGCUGCUAUUGAGUCAUAAGCAAAUAGCAUGUAUCCUCUAACUGCUUAUUUGUGUCAUGGUGCACAGCUUGCUUGCAUGCUCAGUGAAAAAACAACACGAGGAAAGGACACAUUUUUAAUGAGAAGUCACCAUUAGUAGUAGAUUAACCUUUUAUUUUUGCACUGACAUUAUGCAACGUUUGUAUCUUGAUAACUUUAUUUAAAUAGACUUCUUCAAGUCA
Molecule: RNA transcript, 5411 nt
Organism: Passer montanus (Eurasian tree sparrow)
Lineage: Eukaryota; Metazoa; Chordata; Aves; Passeriformes; Passeridae
Gene: ATOSA
Gene name: family with sequence similarity 214 member A
Exons: 12
Source: RefSeq, a predicted model, not a curated record